RNAcentral lists this ribosomal RNA (321 nucleotides) under uncultured Pseudomonadota bacterium. Its description in RNAcentral is "bacterial SSU rRNA". It matches the Rfam family "Bacterial small subunit ribosomal RNA", at positions 28 to 351 of the family's 1533-position model. The record is from RNAcentral. Lineage: Bacteria; Pseudomonadati; Pseudomonadota.
AUUGAACGCUGGCGGCAUGCUUUACACAUGCAAGUCGAACGGGGUGGCGGGGCAACCUGCCAUUCAGUGGCGAACGGGUGAGUAAUGCAUCGGAACGUGUCCCGCAGUGGGGGAUAACGCCGCGAAAGCGGCGCUAAUACCGCAUACGCUCUGUGGAGGAAAGCAGGGGAUCCGCGAGGACCUUGCGCUAUGGGGGCGGCCGAUGUCCGAUUAGCUUGUUGGUGGGGUAACGGCCCACCAAGGCGACGAUCGGUAGCUGGUCUGAGAGGAUGAUCAGCCACACUGGGACUGAGACACGGCCCAGACUCCUACGGGUGGCAG